This 753-nucleotide ribosomal RNA is filed under the name Gambierdiscus belizeanus. Its description in RNAcentral is "partial large subunit ribosomal RNA". It matches the Rfam family "Eukaryotic large subunit ribosomal RNA", at positions 1972 to 2842 of the family's 3401-position model. The record is from RNAcentral. Lineage: Eukaryota; Dinophyceae; Gonyaulacales; Pyrocystaceae.
GAUCCUUUGUGCUAUUGUUUUUGUCCACGCAGAGGCUACUUGACGCCAUUGGUGGAUUGUGGAUUCCUGCAAGGAGCGGACUACUGGACAAGGGGUGCCCUCAUGGGGUCACCUUCAUGCAAUUAACAACUGACUCAGAACUGACUCGGGCAGGGGGAAUCCGACUGUUGAAUUGAAACAAAGCAUUGCGAUGGCCCUAACGGGUGCUGACACAAUGUGAUUUCUGCCCAGUGCUCUGAAUGUCAAAGUGAGGAAAUUCAACCAAGCGCGGGUAAACGGCGGGGGCAACUAUGACUCUCUUGAGGCAGCCAAAUGCCUCGUCAUCCAAUUAGUGACGCGCAUGAAUGGAUUAAUGAGAUUCCUACUGUCCCUAUCUGCUGUCCAGCGAAACCACAGCCAAGGGAACGGGCUUGGGUGGAUCUGCGGGGAAAGAAGACCCUGUUGAGCUUGACUCUAAUCUGACUGUGUGAAAUGACUUAGGGGGUGUUCUGGCGUACUGAUCUGCGUAGACGACUCAAUCAGGUAGGGAGUUUGGCUGGGGCGGCACAUCUGUUAAAGGAUGACGCAGGUGUCCUAAGGUGAGCUCAAUGAGAACAGAAAUCUCAUGUGGAACAAAAGGGAAAAUGCUUGCUUGGUUUUGCUUUUCAGUGUGAAGACAAACUGUGCAAACAUGGCUUAUCGAUCCUUUAGGUCUGAGGGAUGUUCGGCUAGAGGUGUCAGAAAAGUUACCACAGGGAUAACUGGCUUGUGGCA